UCCGGUUGAUCCUGCCGGACCUGACUGCUAUCGGAUUGAUACUAAGCCAUGCGAGUCAUUGUAGCAAUACAAGGCAGACGGCUCAGUAACGCGUAGUCAAUCUACCCUAUGGACGGGGAUAACCUCGGGAAACUGAGAAUAAUACCCGACAGAACAUUAUGCCUGGAAUGGUUUAUGUUUUAAAUGAUUUAUCGCCGUAGGAUGGGACUGCGGCCUAUCAGUUUGUUGGUGAGGUAAUGGCCCACCAAGACUAUUACAGGUACGGGCUCUGAGAGGAGUGGCCCGGAGAUGGGUACUGAGACACGGACCCAGGCCCUAUGGGGCGCAGCAGGCGAGAAAACUUUGCAAUGUGCGAAAGCACGACAAGGUUAAUCCGAGUGGUUUCUGCUAAAGAAACCUUUUGUUAGUCCUAGAAACACUGACGAAUAACGCGUGGGCAAGUUCUGGUGUCAGCCGCCGCGGUAAAACCAGCACCUCAAGUGGUCAGGAUGAUUAUUGGGCCUAAAGCAUCCGUAGCUUGCUUUGUAAGUUCUCGGUUAAAUCCAUGCGCUUAACGUAUGGGCUGCCGGUAAUACUGCAAAGCUAGGGAGUGGGAGAGGUAGACGGUACUCGGUAGGAAGGGGUAAAAUCCUUUGAUCUAUUGAUGACCACCUGUGGCGAAGGCGGUCUACCAGAACACGUCCGACGGUGAGGGAUGAAAGCUGGGGGAGCAAACCGGAUUAGAUACCCGGGUAGUCCCAGCUGUAAACUAUGCAAACUCAGUGAUGCAUUGGCUUGUGGCCAAUGCAGUGCUGCAGGGAAGCCGUUAAGUUUGCCGCCUGGGAAGUACGUACGCAAGUAUGAAACUUAAAGGAAUUGGCGGGA
RNAcentral lists this ribosomal RNA (864 nucleotides) under uncultured archaeon. RNAcentral describes it as "bacterial SSU rRNA". It matches the Rfam family "Archaeal small subunit ribosomal RNA", at positions 1 to 873 of the family's 1478-position model. The record is from RNAcentral.